UUGAGUUUUUGAUCUGGCUCAGGACGAACGCUGGCGGCGUGCCUAAUACAUGCAAGUCGAGCGGACCUCUUCGGAGGUCAGCGGCGGACGGGUGAGUAACACGUGGGCAACCUGCCUGUAAGACUGGGAUAACUCCGGGAAACCGGAGCUAAUACCGGAUACUAUGUCAAACCGCAUGGUUUGACAUUCAAAGACGGUUUCGGCUGUCACUUACAGAUGGGCCCGCGGCGCAUUAGCUAGUUGGUGAGGUAAUGGCUCACCAAGGCGACGAUGCGUAGCCGACCUGAGAGGGUGAUCGGCCACACUGGGACUGAGACACGGCCCAGACUCCUACGGGAGGCAGCAGUAGGGAAUCUUCCGCAAUGGACGAAAGUCUGACGGAGCAACGCCGCGUGAGUGAUGAAGGUUUUCGGAUCGUAAAACUCUGUUGUCAGGGAAGAACAAGUGCCGGAGUAACUGCCGGCGCCUUGACGGUACCUGACCAGAAAGCCACGGCUAACUACGUGCCAGCAGCCGCGGUAAUAC
Molecule: ribosomal RNA, 525 nt
Filed under: uncultured marine bacterium
Lineage: Bacteria
Description: bacterial SSU rRNA
Rfam family: Bacterial small subunit ribosomal RNA
Source: RNAcentral